GAUGAACGCUGGCGGCGUGCCUAAUACAUGCAAGUCGAGCGAACAGACGAGGAGCUUGCUCCUCUGACGUUAGCGGCGGACGGGUGAGUAACACGUGGAUAACCUACCUAUAAGACUGGGAUAACUUCGGGAAACCGGAGCUAAUACCGGAUAAUAUAUUGAACCGCAUGGUUCAAUAGUGAAAGACGGUUUUGCUGUAACUUAUAGAUGGAUCCGCGCCGCAUUAGCUAGUUGGUAAGGUAACGGCUUACCAAGGCAACGAUGCGUAGCCGACCUGAGAGGGUGAUCGGCCACACUGGAACUGAGACACGGUCCAGACUCCUACGGGAGGCAGCAGUAGGGAAUCUUCCGCAAUGGGCGAAAGCCUGACGGAGCAACGCCGCGUGAGUGAUGAAGGUCUUCGGAUCGUAAAACUCUGUUAUUGGGGAGGAACAAAUGUGUAAGUAACUAUGCACGUCUUGACGGUACCUAAUCAGAAAGCCACGGCUAACUACGUG
This 497-nucleotide ribosomal RNA is filed under the name uncultured bacterium. RNAcentral describes it as "partial 16S ribosomal RNA". It matches the Rfam family "Bacterial small subunit ribosomal RNA", at positions 28 to 507 of the family's 1533-position model. The record is from RNAcentral.